GCCCUGGCUGGGUGGUCCACCUAUGGCUGGUACUGCUUGGCUGGGGUUCACCUUCUGGUGAACCGGACGUGCUCUUAACUGGGUGGCCGGGGAACCAGGACUUUUACCUUGAGAAAAUUAGAGUGUUCAAAGCAGGCCUUUGCCUGGAUACAUUAGCAUGGAAUAAUAAAAUAGGACAUGUGGUUCUAUUUUGUUGGUUUUUAGAGCCGCUGUA
Molecule: ribosomal RNA, 214 nt
Filed under: uncultured fungus
Lineage: Eukaryota; Fungi
Description: partial small subunit ribosomal RNA
Rfam family: Eukaryotic small subunit ribosomal RNA (bases 90-214)
Source: RNAcentral